AUUGAACGCUGGCGGCAUGCUUUACACAUGCAAGUCGAACGGUAACAGGCCGCAAGGUGCUGACGAGUGGCGAACGGGUGAGUAAUGCAUCGGAACGUGCCCAGUCGUGGGGGAUAACUACUCGAAAGAGUAGCUAAUACCGCAUACGAUCUAUGGAUGAAAGCGGGGGACCGUAAGGCCUCGCGCGAUUGGAGCGGCCGAUGUCAGAUUGGGUAGUUGGUGGGGUAAAGGCUCACCAAGCCAACGAUCUGUAGCUGGUCUGAGAGGUCGACCAGCCACACUGGGACUGAGACACGGCCCAGACUCCUACGGGAGGCAGCAGUGGGGAAUUUUGGACAAUGGGCGCAAGCCUGAUCCAGCAAUGCCGCGUGCAGGAAGAAGGCCUUCGGGUUGUAAACUGCUUUUGUACGGAACGAAACGGCUCUGGUUAAUACCCGGGGCUAAUGACGGUACCGUAAGAAUAAGCACCGGCUAACUACGUG
RNAcentral lists this ribosomal RNA (482 nucleotides) under uncultured bacterium. RNAcentral's name for it is "partial 16S ribosomal RNA". It matches the Rfam family "Bacterial small subunit ribosomal RNA", at positions 30 to 507 of the family's 1533-position model. The record is from RNAcentral.